UAUGGGGAGUUUUGACAUUUUGACACAAUAAAAAACACUUACCAUAGCUUAGUCCAGGCAAUAGAACCAAAAUAGCAAGAAUCAUCUUCAUAUUUCAAAUCAUCAAGACAAAUACGUAGUAAAUGAAAGAACUAUUGGAAACCUACAGGAAAUGGAGCGUGCAUGGGUGUUGACUUUCUAGUGAGGAAAUGAAGUAAAAUGUUUCACUUCACUUUGUACCAAACCCAGGUUUAGCAAUCCUGUGUUAGACAACAUGUGUGGUGUAGGAAUUCCAGAGUUAGGUCUCAGUAAAGAAAUAAAUAAGGAUGUGCAUAAAAAUAAGCAUGGUUUUGAGCUGAGACCAUACCAGCGUACUUCCUGCGUGCCACGUUUCCCAGCGCCCGGUAGGGGUCGAUAUACUCCUGAGGCGACUGCAGGGGUGUGUGCACGGCCUGAAAAGAGAGGAAGAUAAACAGGGGCUGGGCCUUGGGGUCGUGAGUGGCCAGGAUCUUGCGUACUCUGCGGGUGUACAGUGCGGUCUUAUUAUCGCUGCAGUCUAUGAAUCCUGAAUCACACCUGAAGAGUGACACCACGCAGUCGCCCCAGGAUACCAGAGGCUGAUAAGAUCUCCACUGAGCGUCAAAGAGCCACUUUAACAGAGCUCCAGAGGGCCCAC
Molecule: long non-coding RNA, 655 nt
Organism: Boleophthalmus pectinirostris (great blue-spotted mudskipper)
Lineage: Eukaryota; Metazoa; Chordata; Actinopteri; Gobiiformes; Gobiidae
Exons: 3
Source: RefSeq, a predicted model, not a curated record